RNAcentral lists this ribosomal RNA (303 nucleotides) under uncultured bacterium. Its description in RNAcentral is "partial 16S ribosomal RNA". It matches the Rfam family "Bacterial small subunit ribosomal RNA", at positions 507 to 807 of the family's 1533-position model. The record is from RNAcentral.
AGCAGCCGCCGCGGUAAUACGUAGGUGGCAAGCGUUGUCCGGAAUUAUUGGGCGUAAAGGGAGCGUAGGCGGAUCGUUAAGUUGGGGGUGAAAGCCCGGGGCUCAACCUCGGAACUGCCUUCAAUACUGGCGAUCUUGAGUAUGAGAGAGGUGUGUGGAACUCCGAGUGUAGAGGUGAAAUUCGUAGAUAUUCGGAAGAACACCAGUGGCGAAGGCGACACACUGGCUCAUUACUGACGCUGAGGCUCGAAAGCGUGGGGAGCAAACAGGAUUAGAUACCCCAGUAGUCCCUGUCUCUUAUAC